CAGCCGCCGCGGGAAUACAGAGGGUGCAAGCGUUAAUCGGAAUUACUGGGCGUAAAGCGCGCGUAGGUGGUUUGUUAAGUUGGAUGUGAAAUCCCCGGGCUCAACCUGGGAACUGCAUUCAAAACUGACUGACUAGAGUAUGGUAGAGGGUGGUGGAAUUUCCUGUGUAGCGGUGAAAUGCGUAGAUAUAGGAAGGAACACCAGUGGCGAAGGCGACCACCUGGACUAAUACUGACACUGAGGUGCGAAAGCGUGGGGAGCAAACAGGAUUAGAUACCCCCGUAGUCCCUGUCUCUUAUAC
Molecule: ribosomal RNA, 301 nt
Filed under: uncultured bacterium
Lineage: Bacteria
Description: partial 16S ribosomal RNA
Rfam family: Bacterial small subunit ribosomal RNA
Source: RNAcentral